CAAUAGCGUAUAUUAAAGUUGUUGCAGUUAAAAAGCUCGUAGUUGGAUUUCUGGGAGGGUGCCAAUGUCCGCCAUCGUGCGUGCGCAGCGGCGCCCUUCCAUCCUUCUGUUAACGCCUCUUGGCAUUCAUUUGCUGGUGGCGGGCUCAGAUAUUUUACCUUGAAAAAUUAGAGUGUUUAAAGCAGGCUAUUGCCUUGAAUACAUUAGCAUGGAAUAAUAAUCUAGGACUUCGGUUCUAUUUUGUUGGUUUCUAGUACUGAAGUAAUGAUUGAUAGGGAUAGUUGGGGGUGGCUAGUAUUGACCGGCCAGAGGUGAAAUUCUUGGAUUCGGUCAAGACUAACUUAUGCGAAAGCAUUCACCAAGGAUGUCUUCUUUAAUCAAGAACGAAAGUUGGGGGAUCGAAGACGAUCAGAUACCAU
Molecule: ribosomal RNA, 419 nt
Filed under: uncultured eukaryote
Lineage: Eukaryota
Description: bacterial SSU rRNA
Rfam family: Eukaryotic small subunit ribosomal RNA
Source: RNAcentral